Molecule: ribosomal RNA, 1200 nt
Filed under: Kudoa thyrsites
Lineage: Eukaryota; Metazoa; Cnidaria; Myxozoa; Multivalvulida; Kudoidae
Description: SSU rRNA
Rfam family: Eukaryotic small subunit ribosomal RNA
Source: RNAcentral
CUGCGAAGCGCUCAGUAAAUCAGUUAUUGUCCGUUCGGUCAUAUCAGCCAUGGAUAACUGUGGUAAAUCUAGAGCUAAAACAUAGCAAAUCUCGUACUUGUGCGGGAGCAUUUAUUAGACUCAACCAACUGGCCUCGGCCAUUUGAUGAAUCCUAAUAACUGGGCAUAUCGAACAUUAAUUUGUCGAUAGUCCGAUCGAAUUUCUGCCCUAUCAACUAGUUGGUGAGGUAGUGGCUCACCAAGGUGUUAACGGGUAACGGGGGAUCAGGGUUCGAUUCCGGAGAGGGAGCCUGAGAAACGGCUACCACAUCUAAGGAAGGCAGCAGGCGCGCAAAUUACCCAAUCCAGACUUUGGGAGGUAGUGACGAGAAAUACCGGAGUAGACCGUAUAUUGGUUCACUAUCGGAAUGAACGUAAUUUAAUACCUUCGAUGAGUAGCUACUGGAGGGCAAGUCUGGUGCCAGCAGCCGCGGUAAUUCCAGCUCCAGUAGUGUAUAUCAAAAUUGUUGCGGUUAAAACGCUCGUAGUUGGAUUACAAAAGCUCUCUGGCGGCCAAAUCUAGGUUUGGUCGCCGUGGGGUUUUUUUAUCGCGAGAGCCGCAUGUGGGAUUAACUUCUUGUGUGCGGUCACUUGCGAGGUGUGCCUUGAAUAAAGCACAGUGCUCAAAGCAGGCGAUAGCUCGAAUGUUAUAGCAUGGAACGAUUAUGUUGAUCUUGUCGACUGUUGGUUGUUGACAUUGGUCUCGAUUAAAAGGGACAUUUGAGGGCGUUAGUACUUGGUGGCGAGGGGUGAAAUCCUUAGACCCAUCAAAGACUAACUAAUGCGAAAGCAUUCGCCAAGAGUGUUUUCAUUAAUCAAGAACGAAAGUAGGAGGUUCGAAGACGAUCAGAUACCGUCCUAGUUCCUUACAGUAAACUAUGCCAACAUGGGAUUAGCCCGGUUUAAACCAGGUUGGGCCCUCAGUGAAAAUAAGUGUUUCGGUUCUGGGGAGAGUGCGUACGCAAGUGCCAAAUUUAAAGAAAUUGACGGAAUGGCACCACCAGGAGUGGAGCCUGCGGCUUAAUUUGAUUCAACACGGGGAAACUCACCAGGUCCAGACAUUGGUAGGAUUGACAGACUGAGAGAUCUUUCAUGAUUUGAUGAUUGGUGGUGCAUGGCCGUUCUUAGUUGGUGGAGUGAUCUGUCAGGUUUAUUCCGGUA